RNAcentral lists this ribosomal RNA (275 nucleotides) under Escherichia coli. RNAcentral's name for it is "partial 23S ribosomal RNA". It matches the Rfam family "Bacterial large subunit ribosomal RNA", at positions 34 to 313 of the family's 2925-position model. Lineage: Bacteria; Pseudomonadati; Pseudomonadota; Gammaproteobacteria; Enterobacterales; Enterobacteriaceae. The record is from RNAcentral.
UGGCAGUCAGAGGCGAUGAAGGACGUGCUAAUCUGCGAUAAGCGUCGGUGAGGUGAUAUGAACCGUUAUAACCGGCGAUUUCCGAAUGGGGAAACCCAGUGUGUUUCGACACACUAUCAUUAACUGAAUCCAUAGGUUAAUGAGGCGAACCGGGGGAACUGAAACAUCUAAGUACCCCGAGGAAAAGAAAUCAACCGAGAUUCCCCCAGUAGCGGCGAGCGAACGGGGAGGAGCCCAGAGCCUGAAUCAGUGUGUGUGUUAGUGGAAGCGUCUGG